RNAcentral lists this long non-coding RNA (860 nucleotides) under Corvus moneduloides (New Caledonian crow). RNAcentral's name for it is "lncRNA (ENSCMUG00000018885.1)". The record is from RNAcentral. Lineage: Eukaryota; Metazoa; Chordata; Aves; Passeriformes; Corvidae.
ACACCGUGUCCUCCACCCGCACACGGCGGCAGGACCCUGAGCAGUGUCUGGCCCCUGCACCCCGCUGUCCUACAGCCCCCCCCCGGUCUGCGGGAAGGUCACCCCUGUUCCUGGGCGCUGUGCCUGAGCUGGGAGCACCGAGCCAGGGUUCAUGGUGGGUCAGCUGAGUCAUUCCAUCCAUCCCUUGACGCCGGGAGCUGGAAUCACAGCCCUCCACCGCCGGUGUUUAUUAUCGCUGUGGGACCUUUGUGCCGGCUGGGAGCGCCGUGGUGACGUUUCCCGCCCAUGGUGCCCAUGGUGACGGCGCGGCUCCCCCGCUCCCGUGGCACCCCUGCCCGCCGCACCCCGGCUCAGCUGGGCAGGGCUCCGCUAUUUAACGGGUGCCCGACAGCCGGGAGAGCCGUGCCAAGGGCGGCGAUCCCGAGUGCUGCCGGCAUUGCCUCCUCUGGGAACUUUUCCGCAGGUUUGCUCGGAGACCACUGAGGAGGAUGUGUGACCCCAACCAAGGCCCGCCACAACCAUACCUUGCAGUGUGCCCUCCUGCCCCGCCGGGAUACCCUGGUCCUGGCACAGGUCCCUGCCCUGGCGGCGUGGCAGUCUGCCCCCCGUGCCCUGCUCCACCUGGCCAGCACCCGCACGGGCACCCCCCAUCGGGGCAUCACCCCCAUGGGCACCCCCCAUCGGGGCAUCACCCCCAUGGGCACCCCCCAGCAGGCCAUCACCCCCAUGGGCACCAGGAUCACCACAAGAAGCACCAUAAGAAGCACCAUAAGAAGAAGCACUGCAAGCACCACGGAGACAAGCCCUCAGGUGGCUCCUGCAGCUCAAGCAGCUCAAGCAGCAGCUCUGACUCUGACUGA